GACGGAGGGUGCUAGCGUUGUUCGGAAUGACUGGGCGUAAAGGGCGCGUAGGCGGCUCGUGAAGUCGGGUGUGAAAGCCCGGGGCUCAACCCCGGAACGGCAUCCGAUACUGGCGGGCUUGAGACCGGGAGAGGAGGGUGGAAUACCCAGUGUAGAGGUGAAAUUCGUAGAUAUUGGGUGGAGCACCGGUGGCGAAAGCGGCUCUCUGGCCCGGAUCUGACGCUGAGGCGCGAAAGCGUGGGGAGCAAACAGG
Molecule: ribosomal RNA, 253 nt
Filed under: uncultured bacterium
Lineage: Bacteria
Description: partial 16S ribosomal RNA
Rfam family: Bacterial small subunit ribosomal RNA
Source: RNAcentral